CUAUCUUAAGUGAUUGAAGAUAGUUGAUGUAUAUUUAUUUUCUCAAAAGUCACAUUUUUUGCAAGUUUGGUUUACUUUGGAUUUAUUAAAGAUAAUACCAGUUCACUUAUUGAUUCCAUUCAUUCCCGAAAAAAUUCUUUAAAAUAAUUUAGUUUAACACCAAGAAUCGCUUUGAGGAUUUAUCUCCUUAAGGGUUGUCGGAACCAUAUACUGAACAUCUACAAUACGUUUGAUCAUAGUUAACUUUACAAUGAUCUAGUUGAUAGUCUUCCUAUUUGUUGAGCUUCUCUUUUAGAUUGAAGGAAAGGGAAAGACUUGGCUAGGUUGUGGCAAGCAAACUUCUUCGCUAUUAUGUGGAGAAAUUUAGAGGGGAGGAUAGGGAGUUAGAGAGUUUUUUUGGAAAAAAAAAAAAAAAGAGACGGGACUUUACAUUAAGAGAAUGAAAAAAAAGACCAAUGUUCAAAGAAGUGAAAAAGAGCAACAUAGCACAAAAAAAAGACAUAGGAACAUAAUGCAAAAAGUAAGCUAGAGAGGUGAUAAGGAUAAUUAGUAUAUUUUAGUUAAUUGGUUAAUUGUCUUAUUUUCCUGUAAGGCUAUAGAUAGCCAAUUUAGAGUGUAUUUGAACCUCUUGAAUAUCUUUCCAAUAUAGAACGUUGUUCUUGGAGAGCUUUUUCUCAUCUCUAAGGAAUGAGAUUUCUCUUGUUCCAGAAUGGAUUUGGCAUGGUACUCCAACCUGCUGCAUCAAGAGGUUUAAUUAUUCAGUUUGGGCAUUGAUCACUAGGACUUUUUGUAAUUGUGAUAAUGAUCUUGUUCUUUUUUAUUAGAUUGUUUUAUGUGAUUAGUCAUUGACUCCUUUUUAUGAGUAUUACGUCUUUUUUUUGUUUUUCUUAUUGCAAUUGAGAAUUUAGCCAUUGUGCUUACUCUUUAUGGAGUAUCUAAAGACAAGAAAUCGACACUCCAAUGCUAUGAAAAUUUUCCUAUAAGCUGAUGAUAUGUGGGGAAGAUAUUCAUAGUUCAUCUUUAUUGGCGAUGAUUGCAUAAUACAAACUGUUUAACUCUAAGGAUUACAAAUUGUCGUACAUGUAUUGUCGUAGGCUGUUUUGUUCUAAGGACUAGGAACAACCCAAGAAGUUGUUCAAUUUGCAGUGGCCAUUUGGUUGGACGUUCUUCUUCUCCUUGAUCUCUUUCUCCUCUUCUUAGGAACUUCAUUUUCAUUAUCAGAUUUGAAGAGGGACCACCAUGAGUGGGGUAGUAAAAUGAAUAGAGAAUGGGACAGUGAGCUGGGUAUGUUUUUGGUAUGUGUAUUCUAGAGAGAAAGAGUGAGCUGGGUAUGUUUUUGGUAUGUGUAUUCUAGAGAGAAAGAGUAGCAGUAUGUUUUUGUUUGCUGUGUUUGCCUAAUAUAGUCCUCAUGGUCUUCUCUUUUCAUUUCAUGGAAUCAAGUGUUGAAGUUCUUGUUUGUGUUCUGUAUUUUGUUGAGACGUUGAUUUAGUUAUUCAUUGACUGUACGUAUGUGUUAUGGAUUCUUUGUAGGUUCAACUGGAGUCGACAAGUUCAUGAGUUUUGUUUCAAAUAUCAUUUCCAGAAACGAACAUUCUCGGUUGGUCCAGUCAAAUAUAUUCGAAUGCUAUUUAAGAUAUUUUUUGAUUAAGGGUUAGUAUUUCGUACAUGUGGAUUACUGAAACUUGUAUUAAGAUGUACAAAUAUUAUAAAUCGUAUUAUAGUGUAUAUAUAUUAAAGUGUUGGCUAUUUUCUUGUACAUUGGUGUGAAACUUGUAUAAUUUCAAAUUUGUCAUUCUCAGCUA
Long non-coding RNA from Cucumis sativus (cucumber), 1802 nucleotides. RefSeq lists it as uncharacterized. The record is from RefSeq and is a predicted model, not a curated record. Lineage: Eukaryota; Viridiplantae; Streptophyta; Magnoliopsida; Cucurbitales; Cucurbitaceae. The transcript has 2 exons.